This 301-nucleotide ribosomal RNA is filed under the name uncultured bacterium. RNAcentral's name for it is "partial 16S ribosomal RNA". It matches the Rfam family "Bacterial small subunit ribosomal RNA", at positions 509 to 808 of the family's 1533-position model. The record is from RNAcentral.
CAGUAGCCGCGGUAAAACGAGGGGGGCAAGCGUUGUUCGGAAUUAUUGGGCGUAAAGGGCGCGUAGGCGGUUUGGCAAGUUUGGUGUGAAAUCUUCGGGCUCAACUCGAAGUCUGCACCGAAAACUGCCGGGCUUGAGUAUGGGAGAGGUGAGUGGAAUUUCCGGUGUAGCGGUGAAAUGCGUAGAUAUCGGAAGGAACACCUGUGGCGAAAGCGGCUCACUGGACCAUUACUGACGCUGAGGCGCGAAAGCUAGGGGAGCAAACAGGAUUAGAUACCCCGUAGUCCCUGUCUCUUAUACA